Molecule: unclassified non-coding RNA, 370 nt
Filed under: rhizosphere metagenome
Description: partial ribosomal RNA internal transcribed spacer region
Source: RNAcentral
GUAGGUGAACCUGCGGAAGGAUCAUUACCACGUCUCCACGUACCCACCCCAGCGCAUUCGUUUUCCCCCGCCUCCCGGCCCUCGGAACGAAUUGGAACUGCGAACAGACGCGCAAGAGUGGGGAGCUUCGGCUCCAGCGUCUGGCAGCUACUGACGGUCACUUGCGUCCGUCGACAAUUGCAUUCGAGAGCGCGGCUUUUUCAUCUCUCCGCCUGACGGCCACCCCUCGUCGCGGCGGAUGGGAUUUUCUCAAACCUUUUUCACAGCUUUUGCUAGUUGACUUUUUAUCGUCUUUGCGCGCUUCGGCGCCCGAGACACGUUAUUUCAACGUUAAAAAAUACAACUCUUAGCAAUGGAUAUCUUGGUUCUC